UACGUAGGGUGCGAGCGUUGUCCGGAGUUAUUGGGCGUAAAGAGCUCGUAGGCGGCCUGUCACGUCGGCUGUGAAAACCCGCGGCUCAACCGCGGGCCGGCAGUCGAUACGGGGAGGCUCGAGUCCGGCAGGGGAGUCUGGAAUUCCUGGUGUAGCGGUGAAAUGCGCAGAUAUCAGGAGGAACACCGGUGGCGAAGGCGGGACUCUGGGCCGGCACUGACGCUGAGGAGCGAAAGCGUGGGGAGCGAACAGG
Molecule: ribosomal RNA, 253 nt
Filed under: uncultured bacterium
Lineage: Bacteria
Description: partial 16S ribosomal RNA
Rfam family: Bacterial small subunit ribosomal RNA
Source: RNAcentral